Molecule: ribosomal RNA, 433 nt
Filed under: uncultured bacterium
Lineage: Bacteria
Description: partial 16S ribosomal RNA
Rfam family: Bacterial small subunit ribosomal RNA
Source: RNAcentral
AACGAACGCUGGCGGCAUGCCUAACACAUGCAAGUCGAACGAGACCUUCGGGUCUAGUGGCGCACGGGUGCGUAACGCGUGGGAACCUGCCCUUAGGUUCGGAAUAACUCCCCGAAAGGGGUGCUAAUACCGGAUAAUGUCUUCGGACCAAAGAUUUAUCGCCUUUGGAUGGGCCCGCGUUGGAUUAGCUAGUUGGUAGGGUAAAAGCCUACCAAGGCGACGAUCCAUAGCUGGUCUGAGAGGAUGAUCAGCCACACUGGGGCUGAGACACGGCCCAGACUCCUACGGGAAGCAGCAGUGGGGAAUAUUGGACAAUGGGCGAAAGCCUGAUCCAGCAAUGCCGCGUGAGUGAUGAAGGCCUUAGGGUUGUAAAGCUCUUUUACCCGGGAUGAUAAUGACAGUACCGGGAGAAUAAGCGCCGGCUAACUCCGUG